AUUGAACGCUGGCGGCAUGCCUUACACAUGCGAGUCGAACGGUAACGGGCCUUCGGGCGCCGACGAGUGGCGAACGGGUGAGUAAUGCAUCGGAACGUGCCCAGUAGUGGGGGAUAGCCCGGCGAGAGCCGGAUUAAUACCGCAUGAGACCUGAGGGUGAAAGCGGGGGAUCGCAAGACCUCGCGCUACUGGAGCGGCCGAUGUCAGAUUAGCUAGUUGGUGGGGUAAAGGCCUACCAAGGCAACGAUCUGUAGUUGGGAUGAGAGGACGACCAGCCACACUGGGACUGAGACACGGCCCAGACUCCUACGGGAGGCAGCAGUGGGGAAUUUUGGACAAUGGGCGCAAGCCUGAUCCAGCAAUGCCGCGUGCAGGAAGAAGGCCUUCGGGUUGUAAACUGCUUUUGUCAGGGAAGAAAUCUUCUGGGUUAAUACCUCGGGAGGAUGACGGUACCUGAAGAAUAAGCACCGGCUAACUACGUGCCAGCCGCCGCCGUAA
This 498-nucleotide ribosomal RNA is filed under the name uncultured bacterium. RNAcentral describes it as "partial 16S ribosomal RNA". It matches the Rfam family "Bacterial small subunit ribosomal RNA", at positions 29 to 523 of the family's 1533-position model. The record is from RNAcentral.